Molecule: transfer RNA, 63 nt
Filed under: Odontolabis cuvera fallaciosa
Lineage: Eukaryota; Metazoa; Arthropoda; Insecta; Coleoptera; Lucanidae
Description: tRNA-His
Source: RNAcentral
ACUUGAGUAUUUUAAUAAAAAUAUUAGUUUGUGGAACUAAAGAUGUAUUUUGUGCCUCAGGUA